GAAAUGCGAUAAGUAAUGUGAAUUACAGAAUUCAGUGAAUCAUCGAAUCUUUGAACGCACCUUGCGCUCCUUGGUAUUCCUUGGAGCAUGCCUGUUUGAGUUUCAUGAAAUCUUCAAAGUAAAUCUUUUGUUAACUCAAUUGGUUUCUACUUUGGUAUUGGAGGUCUUUGCAGCUUCACACCUGCUCCUCUUUGUUCAUUAGCUGGAUCUCAGUGUUAUGCUUGGUUCCACUCGGCGUGAUAAGUUAUCUAUCGCUGAGGACACUGUAAAAGGUGGCCAAGGUAAAUGCAGAUGAACCGCUUCUAAUAGUCCAUUGACUUGGACAAUACUUUUAUGAUCUGAUCUCAAAUCAGGUAGGACUACCCGCUGAACUUAAGC
Molecule: unclassified non-coding RNA, 378 nt
Filed under: plant metagenome
Description: partial contains 5.8S ribosomal RNA, internal transcribed spacer 2, and large subunit ribosomal RNA
Rfam family: 5.8S ribosomal RNA (bases 1-105)
Source: RNAcentral